This is a long non-coding RNA of Ornithodoros turicata, 4182 nucleotides long. RefSeq lists it as uncharacterized. The record is from RefSeq and is a predicted model, not a curated record. The transcript is spliced from 2 exons. NCBI's taxonomy places the organism in Eukaryota, Metazoa, Arthropoda, Arachnida, Ixodida, Argasidae.
AUUUAUCCGCAUAACUUUGUGUCUAUAAUCGAUCGUCCACCUCGGCAGCCUCCGCUGUGCGGUUGUGCGCUUUGCAACAUGCAUUGAUCAUUCAUAUAUGAGAUUGCGGUUACGGUAUUUUUAUUUGGUAAUUAAAUUUUACGCCGCACGAAAAAGGCGCAGUCUAUUAGUACUGCAUUAAAAGUGGUGCGCACGGAUCAAUAUUCUGUCGGCCGUGCAUUCGGACGCCCGUCGCGUCACCUUGUCCCAUUUAUGCUCGUGAGCAAAGUUAGCGCGCACAAUCAUUAGUGAAAUGCCAGCGGAAAAAAUACGACAAUGUUCGCAAAUGGCUGCGAUGUCUUAUCGAGGCAUAGCCUAUGCUUUUUCAAGGCCUUCGAUACGACGAUACAUUCGGUGAGACGCGUUGUAGGGAAGUGCGCUCUCUGCGUAAACUGAUUGAUUCAGGUAGCAUCGUCCAACACCUCAACGACGGUGGUGCGCGAACGCGGUAAGUUUGUCAUCACGUGCAAGGCACCUGUGACGCACCUGCCCCUGUGGCUGAAGGACGGAGUACCCGUGGCUCAAAGCCAAGGGUAUCAACUACAGCAGGAGUACCCAUCUGCCACGAGCAACGCCACACAUCAUGGCCACAUCCUCAUGCGUCUGUCUGUCGAGAGGGCCCAACUGGCUCAUGCGGGCGAAUACAAGUGUAGCAGCUUCAGUCCUCACGCACAUCGCAUCCUCGUGGUCGCUGGUAAGAUACAAAGGGGGAGAGACAGACUCACUUUGUGCCAGGACGCAAUCCUCCAGUUAUCAGAUACCACAGUAGGCAAAGCUGGUUGGGAAAUGGGCCCUCACCUCUUGUGUGUCUCUGGCACAAAUUGAGCCCCUUUGUCAACUCCUUGUGUGGGCACACAGAGCCCCUCUGCCAGUUUCCUCGGUCUGCAUGGCUCCGUCCGGUUUUAUCUCUUUCAAUUUGAUUUACUUUUUGUUGCGUUGUUUGUUUCGAUUGCAUUAUCUCUAGCACUUUUCAGGGGGCGGUUCUUCGGUGCAAAUAAGAAUGAUCCAACGGCGAAUAAUAGGACCAAUCUGGACGUGAAAGUGCUUUUCCUGAAUGUGCUAUUUGCUAAUUGUAAGCCGUUGUAAAGCGAGCGAGCCACAGUAGGAUUUUGCAUCACGAAACUCUUUUCCGCAGGGGAGUUCUAAAGCAUCCUGUCCGUAGCAGAUGCGAGUGAUAGAACACUCAUCCCUUCUCUCCAAGAAAAGGCAUAUUUGCGGCACUUUUGCGAAUUAAAUUUUAUUCCGAUAAUGCAUCCUAAAAUGUAUUCCAUGGUUGUUUCUGAUAUGUUGCUUGAAAAGGCCAUCUAGCAUAUCCUCUAAAGAUCUUCCACGACUGCUUGCACAAAAGAGAAUCGAAAGACCAUCAAAAAACUGUGCACCGAAAAACUGUUCGUUCAUUUAUUUUCCCGUGUUUUCUUUGCUCUGCAUAGCCUUUUGAUUUGUCCCAUUUUGAUAUUGUGAAAAUAUAUCGAAGUGACUUACAGUAAUCAAAACAUAAACUGCACAUGGUAAAAUAAUUUUAGUUGAGGGAACGGCACGUGCUACACUGUGAUACCUCCGUGUAUUUUAUUACGUAUUCCCGCUACCUGUAGCUAACACUGCAGUAAAGUUGUUUGUACUCUGACAGUUUUACGAUAUCUGUCAUGUAAUUGAUUCAGUCUAUACAUCGGCUUGUGUUGAUGCUAUUGCUCAACUAGCUUUUCCUUUCUUGAGCCUUUAUGAACGAAAUACUUUGCUAAGUGUUCCUGCAACAUAUCAGUAGUUUCAGCAUUUUUAGUAGUUUCUGCACCAUGGGGCUGGGCACAGUUACUGAUCUAAAUGACAAAGCAAUAAAUGUGCGAUAUAUAAAUAGAAUGCACUAGAAAAUUUUCAAAAUAACUGUUAAUAAUUGUGUAACUGCGUUAUAUAUUACUAAAUAUCACGUAUGAUAAUACGAUGUACGUAUCAUUUCCCACCCUCACGUUUGUACCAUUAUUGGUUGAUUUUGCUUCUAUUUGGUUAAUGCAAAAUUUGUGGAAUAAAUGAAUCAUGGUAACAAGACACCAAGACAAACUUGCUACUAUAAUAAAGGUCUUUUAUCAGAAGUGUGGGAAUGGCAGAGUUUGAGGCUUGUUUGCCCAUGGCUGAGGUAUAUAUUACUCUUCUGUCACACACUGAUCAAUAAGAAUGGAAAACAUGCUUGGCAGUGUAAGGUACAGUAACAUAUGUUAACGUUGCAAUUUUGUAAAUUCUGUCGAGUAUAUUUCUUUAAGUAAGGUGAAGUUUACCCAUACAUCUUCUGCAACCAUUAUUAUUGGUCACAAAUCAAUUUGCAUUAAACAUCAUUGAAUGCAAGCCCAGAAUUACUUGUGUACUACAGAGCCCAAAUUCUGCAUCCUUUUAUCGGCACAGUACUAAACUUUCUGUUGCAUUCCAAUGCACUUUUAAUGCUUUGUAAGCUGCUUAGAUGAGCUGUAUUGUAUAGCUAGCAUGAAAAGGUAUUUCCCCCGUGUAAAAAGAAUGUGAAUGGACACAAGCAACAUGCAUCAAGUAUAUAUGUGCUUGUUGUGCUGCAUGAUUUUUUUGUUGCCUUUCACCGAGGAAAAUGUGCCUGAGGGGUCGAUGCUUGAGAGUAGCAUAUGGAAAGAAGUGCAGGCUAAAAAAUGCUACCCUGGACAGCAAAGGGUGACAUAAGAGUGUGGUACAAAAGGCUUUUUUGUCUACAGCUGCAAUAAUGAAUAAAAAGUUUGCUCACUCGGAAGGUAAGGUUCGCUCACUGAAAGCACAAUGGAGGAUGGCGUGUCUUACCAACCAGUCUUGGGAGCACAGAGAUCGGAGCCACAUAUUAAUUUUAGAAGAUGGCAGGCAUAUCAAACUGAAUUAGAGCAGCAUGUCCCAAUAAAGUGCAUGAGUCAACAAAAAGAAAGAAAAAAAAAAUAUUACCUUCAUCCUUCCUUUACUAUCACACUCUCAUGUUCGCUCUUAAAUAAUAAAGCCAUAUUUGACAUACUAAAGUACCUAAGCUACUGGCAGGCAUCGGCAAUAUGCCUAUUACCAGCGACCUACGAGGCGAUGGCAAGACAUUCUGAGCUUCCUUCGCUUGAUCUUUUUUGCCUUCCACUGCGCACUGUGUUGGGGACUGUGUUGUACGUGUAGCUUGGGAAUCGGAAAACAGGCAAAAGACAGCACCGUGGUUGGCAAAAGCUGUGCAUCAUUUUGCCAAGUUGUUGCUGUGUCAACUCUGUACUAUGAGUUAGAUUGUAUAUUUCAUUGCACUGCUUUAUCCCAUUACAGCAGUAUGCAGCUGCACUCUCAUAAUAUGUACAUAUUAUGCUUGUUUCAUUGACGUUCCUUUCAUCCUUGUAUACUUGUUUUACUUUCUUGUCUAUGCAUUCAUUUCUGUUUUGACAUGAAGUACAGAUUCCUAUGUUGCGUUGAUCGAUGUUGUAGUAUAUUUAGUUGAGCGUAUGUGCUGCACAGUCAAGGUUGGUUAGGGCCAGCGUUCUGUCUGGUCACAGAACUCUCUGCCGUCACGUAGUUGAACGCGGCAGGAAUUUGUGUAGCGAGGCUCCCCUUUGUGGUGCAUUCAACGGGUUGCAUGACACAAAUUUUUUGCUAUUUCAGCGAAAAUACCCUUUGUCACAUAUUUUGAGCCUACACAGACCUCUUGGGAAAAAGUAAAAUGCCACAUUUCUGCGACUGUGCUGUCUGCCGUCUUAAGGCAUGCCAAAGCCAAACUAAUGAAAAAUUUCUAUACUAUCAGAUUCUGUGAAGGAACUUUGAAACCUAAGUGUCCUCCAAGUCUGCCGAAAAGUCUGAAAACUUUGAAUUCUUGAUUAUGUGUUAUUAGUUUGUCAAUUUGGGAGCCACGUUACUUGAAUGUUACUACACUGAUGCAUGACUUUUAGCAGUCACAGGUCAUGUUUAGCUUUCUUAAGAUGUUUGCAUAGCCCGCUCGAUGGUGUUUUGGUACGAAUUAUGGCUUUCAUCUUGCAUUGCUUUCAUCACUGCGUUAAGGAUUGGUGGAAAGAAAUAUCGCAAAUGUUAUCCGUCAGUCUACCUACAGUAUGAAAAACUUGAGUGUCGAACUUAUCCGUGUGAAUAAGUCAAAGGUAUCUAUUCUGCAAUUUUGCACCACAUAAUCGUCGAAAAAAAAAAAAAACA